GUCCCUGGGCAUAGAGACAGUUAAUGCGUUCAGUUGCUAACUGAAAGGUUGGAGGUUCGAGUCCACUCAGAGGUG
RNAcentral lists this transfer RNA (75 nucleotides) under Loxodonta africana (African savanna elephant). It matches the Rfam family "tRNA". From Rfam's summary of the family: Transfer RNA (tRNA) molecules are approximately 80 nucleotides in length. Lineage: Eukaryota; Metazoa; Chordata; Mammalia; Proboscidea; Elephantidae. The record is from Rfam by way of RNAcentral.